This 84-nucleotide transfer RNA is filed under the name Candidatus Woesearchaeota archaeon. Its description in RNAcentral is "tRNA-Leu". It matches the Rfam family "tRNA". From Rfam's summary of the family: Transfer RNA (tRNA) molecules are approximately 80 nucleotides in length. Their secondary structure includes four short double-helical elements and three loops (D, anti-codon, and T loops). The record is from RNAcentral. Lineage: Archaea; Nanobdellati; Candidatus Woesearchaeota. RNAcentral also lists the same sequence under 1 other name.
GCGGGGGUGCCGGAGUGGCCAAACGGGCUGGACUCAAGAUCCAGUAGCUUAGUGCUUACGAGGGUUCGAAUCCCUUCCCCCGCA